This 266-nucleotide ribosomal RNA is filed under the name uncultured bacterium. RNAcentral describes it as "partial 16S ribosomal RNA". It matches the Rfam family "Bacterial small subunit ribosomal RNA", at positions 88 to 354 of the family's 1533-position model. The record is from RNAcentral.
CCGGCGACCGGCGCACGGGUGAGUAACACGUAUGGAACCUGCCCGCAGCAGGGGGAUAAGCGGAAGAAAUUCCGUCUAAUACCGCGUAACAACGUUGGGAGGCAUCUCCCGAUGUUUAAAGAUUUAUCGGCUGCGGAUGGCCAUGCGGCGCAUUAGCUAGUCGGCGGGGUAACGGCCCACCGAGGCGACGAUGCGUAGGGGUUCUGAGAGGAAGGUCCCCCACACUGGUACCGAGACACGGACCAGACUCCUACGGGAGGCAGCAG